Molecule: ribosomal RNA, 469 nt
Filed under: uncultured bacterium
Lineage: Bacteria
Description: bacterial SSU rRNA
Rfam family: Bacterial small subunit ribosomal RNA
Source: RNAcentral
GGCCCAGACUCCUACGGGAGGCAGCAGUGAGGAAUAUUGGUCAAUGGACGAGAGUCUGAACCAGCCAAGUAGCGUGAAGGAUGACUGCCCUAUGGGUUGUAAACUUCUUUUAUAUGGGAAUAAAAUGUUCCACGUGUGGGAUUUUGUAUGUACCAUAUGAAUAAGGAUCGGCUAACUCCGUGCCAGCAGCCGCGGUAAUACGGAGGAUCCGAGCGUUAUCCGGAUUUAUUGGGUUUAAAGGGUGCGCAGGCGGUCUGUUAAGUCAGCGGUAAAAUCGUGGGGCUCAACCCCAUCCAGCCGUUGAAACUGGGGAUCUAGAGUGUGCGAGAGGUAUGCGGAAUGCGUGGUGUAGCGGUGAAAUGCAUAGAUAUCACGCAGAACCCCGAUUGCGAAGGCAGCAUACCGGUGCACAACUGACGCUCAGGCACGAAAGCGUGGGUAUCGAACAGGAUUAGAUACCCUCGUAAUA